Molecule: ribosomal RNA, 537 nt
Filed under: uncultured bacterium
Lineage: Bacteria
Description: bacterial SSU rRNA
Rfam family: Bacterial small subunit ribosomal RNA
Source: RNAcentral
ACGGGAGGCAGCAGUGAGGAAUAUUGGUCAAUGGGCGUAAGCCUGAACCAGCCAAGUCGCGUGAGGGAUGAAGGUUCUAUGGAUCGUAAACCUCUUUUAUAAGGGAAUAAAGUGCGGGACGUGUCCUGUUUUGUAUGUACCUUAUGAAUAAGGAUCGGCUAACUCCGUGCCAGCAGCCGCGGUAAUACGGAGGAUCCGAGCGUUAUCCGGAUUUAUUGGGUUUAAAGGGUGCGUAGGCGGCCUUUUAAGUCAGCGGUGAAAGUCUGUGGCUCAACCAUAGAAUUGCCGUUGAAACUGGGGGGCUUGAGUAUGUUUGAGGCAGGCGGAAUGCGUGGUGUAGCGGUGAAAUGCUUAGAUAUCACGCAGAACCCCGAUUGCGAAGGCAGCCUGCCAAGCCAUGACUGACGCUGAUGCACGAAAGCGUGGGGAUCAAACAGGAUUAGAUACCCUGGUAGUCCACGCAGUAAACGAUGAUCACUAGCUGUUUGCGAUACAGUGUAAGCGGCACAGCGAAAGCGUUAAGUGAUCCACCUGGGG